Long non-coding RNA from Mercenaria mercenaria, 1376 nucleotides. RefSeq lists it as uncharacterized. The transcript is spliced from 3 exons. The record is from RefSeq and is a predicted model, not a curated record. NCBI's taxonomy places the organism in Eukaryota, Metazoa, Mollusca, Bivalvia, Venerida, Veneridae.
CAUUGGUCUAAGCUGUCUGCACUGUCCAUCAUCAUUUUGUCCAUCAGAGGAAUCGUCAAAAUCGUCAUAACUGUCACUAUCAUCAUAAAUGAUAGAAACAUCAGACUAUGACGAACUUUCAGAGACUCUGCGCUGUUUUUCUUUUUAUUUUAGGAGAUUUUUAAUCCUUGUGAUCAACUAAAAUGUGCAUUCAUAACUUUAUCAUGAGUCAUCACAGAACAUUAGGGUUUCUAACUGACCAAUCAGAGAGCUGCAUUUUAGAGUACCUGCCAGUUUCCACUUUGGUAUAACAAAGUAUAUUUACAAUGAACAUAAUAGUGACUUUAGAAAUAAAUAUCACACUAUUUUAAAAAUAAAAUCAAGAUUUUUCACUGCACAUGCUUCAGAUGAUGCUACAAACAACAAAACUUUGAAGUUUCAUUGAAAUGUUAUAUUGAUUUAAUACCUUUAUUUUAGUUAAAAGUUUGAGAUUUUACACUGAGAGUCUAUGAUAAAGUCCGAGUAAAAUUUAAUCAAUACCCAAGUGAAAUAAGUAUCAUUCCACAAUGUUUUGGACAUGUUAAAGUUAUGAAUUAAGUGCUUUUCUCAAAGCAACAAGAAAUUAUAUAAAUUUAAUUAAUUGGGGGUCGAUAAUAGCAGAAGGUCAUAUUUUCAAUCUGCUAUUAUCGACCCCCACAUAAUCUUUCCAGAAGUUGCAAGAGACUACAAAAAUGGCUGAUAGAAAUGAGUUCUAUAUGUGUAUAGUAGGAUUAAAUACAAAAUUAAACUGAUUCGAUCCAUAAAAACGUUACUAUUGUUGAAGACAGUAAGGCUGGACAUCUCAUGAAGCCAAGACCAGAAAGUAUUACCAGCAUGGAAACUGACAGUGUUAAAAAAAGGGAUUUUGACGAACUUCAAGAUCAGGUUAGGCGCUUAAAGAAGAGGGUUCGGGAACUCGAAAGGUUCCAAGAUUCUGCGAAAUCCAGCAAUAAAGCAUCUAAUCUGCCUGAAGGACCAAUCCUGUCCAGCCAUUCAGAAAGUCCUAGUAGCCCUUCACAGAAACCGUGUGAGGAGUAUAAUGGCUAUACAGAACAACAAUUGAAGGAUAUGAUUUGUCACGAGGACAGCCUUUUUGAGUGCUGUAAAAAAACUUCUGGCUCUGUUUUCCACUGACUACAUUACUAGCCAUAGUGUAACUGGUAGGAGAGCAAACACCAACACAGAGCCCAAACCCAAAUUUGAUCCAAGAUUGUAUGCUUGCUUAAGCAAAGUGUUAAAAGAAAAGUUUCCUGGCACUAAAGACACAGAAAUAACAUUGAAGACAGCUGUUCAAAAGAAAUGCAAAAAAGCUAAUCAGUAAAAUGAAGGUUUUAUGGAAUAAAUUUUUGAUUGUUUAA